GGAUUGUGGCUCAGAGGUAGAGCACUUGCUGCCAUGCGUGAGGCACUGAGUUCAAUCCCCAGCACCA
This 67-nucleotide transfer RNA is filed under the name Marmota monax (woodchuck). Its description in RNAcentral is "tRNA.Undet". Lineage: Eukaryota; Metazoa; Chordata; Mammalia; Rodentia; Sciuridae. The record is from RNAcentral.